Molecule: ribosomal RNA, 253 nt
Filed under: uncultured bacterium
Lineage: Bacteria
Description: partial 16S ribosomal RNA
Rfam family: Bacterial small subunit ribosomal RNA
Source: RNAcentral
UACGUAGGGUGCAAGCGUUAAUCGGAAUUACUGGGCGUAAAGCGUGCGCAGGCGGUCUUGCAAGACAGAUGUGAAAUCCCCGGGCUCAACCUGGGAACUGCAUUUGUGACUGCAAGGCUGGAGUACGGUAGAGGGGGAUGGAAUUCCGCGUGUAGCAGUGAAAUGCGUAGAUAUGCGGAGGAACAUCGAUGGCGAAGGCAGCCCCUUGGACCUGUACUGACGCUCAUGCACGAAAGCGUGGGGAGCAAACAGG